RNAcentral lists this ribosomal RNA (480 nucleotides) under uncultured bacterium. RNAcentral describes it as "partial 16S ribosomal RNA". It matches the Rfam family "Bacterial small subunit ribosomal RNA", at positions 29 to 507 of the family's 1533-position model. The record is from RNAcentral.
UUGAACGCUGGCGGCAUGCUUUACACAUGCAAGUCGAACGGUAACAGGCCGCAAGGUGCUGACGAGUGGCGAACGGGUGAGUAAUGCAUCGGAACGUGCCCAGUCGUGGGGGAUAACUACUCGAAAGAGUAGCUAAUACCGCAUACGAUCUAUGGAUGAAAGCGGGGGACCGUAAGGCCUCGCGCGAUUGGAGCGGCCGAUGUCAGAUUAGGUAGUUGGUGGGGUAAAGGCUCACCAAGCCAACGAUCUGUAGCUGGUCUGAGAGGACGACCAGCCACAUGGGACCGAGACACGGCCCCAACUCCCACGGGAAGCAAGAGUGGGGAAAUUUUGGCAAAGGGGGGAAGGCUUAUUCCGCAAAGCCGCGGGGCAGAAGAAGGGCCUUGGGGUGGAAAACUGCUUUUGUAGGGAAGAAAACGGCUCUGGUUAAUACCAGGGCUAAUGACGGUACCGUAAGAAUAAGCACCGGCUAACUACGUG